This 313-nucleotide ribosomal RNA is filed under the name Bacteroidetes bacterium OR-1. RNAcentral's name for it is "partial 16S ribosomal RNA". It matches the Rfam family "Bacterial small subunit ribosomal RNA", at positions 378 to 689 of the family's 1533-position model. The record is from RNAcentral. Lineage: Bacteria; Pseudomonadati; Bacteroidota.
GCAGUCUGACCAGCCAUGCCGCGUGGAGGAUGAAGGUCCUCUGGAUUGUAAACUUCUUUUAUCUGGGACGAAACACUUCUUUUCUAAGAGGCCUGACGGUACCAGAUGAAUAAGCACCGGCUAACUCCGUGCCAGCAGCCGCGGUAAUACGGAGGGUGCAAGCGUUAUCCGGAUUCACUGGGUUUAAAGGGUGCGUAGGUGGGUAUGUAAGUCAGUGGNGAAAUCNCCGAGCUUAANUUGGNAACUGCCGNUGAUACUAUAUAUCUUGAAUGCCGUANAGNUAANCGGAAUAUGUCAUGUNGCGGUGAAAUGC